GUCCCCGUAGCUCAGGGGCAGAGCGCCCGCUUCGUAAGCGGGAGGCCGCAGGUUCGAGUCCUGCCGGGGACU
This is a transfer RNA of 72 nucleotides. It matches the Rfam family "tRNA". From Rfam's summary of the family: Transfer RNA (tRNA) molecules are approximately 80 nucleotides in length. Their secondary structure includes four short double-helical elements and three loops (D, anti-codon, and T loops).